RNAcentral lists this ribosomal RNA (238 nucleotides) under uncultured Cytophagales bacterium. RNAcentral describes it as "partial 16S ribosomal RNA". It matches the Rfam family "Bacterial small subunit ribosomal RNA", at positions 597 to 834 of the family's 1533-position model. The record is from RNAcentral. Lineage: Bacteria; Pseudomonadati; Bacteroidota; Sphingobacteriia; Sphingobacteriales.
AAAGACGGUCGCUCAACGAUUGCAGUGCCAUUGAAACUAGUAGACUUGAGUAAAGUAGAGGUGGGCGGAAUUGAUAGUGUAGCGGUGAAAUGCAUAGAUAUUAUCAAGAACUCCAAUUGCGUAGGCAGCUCACUUGGCUUUUACUGACACUCAUGCACGAAAGUGUGGGUAUCAAACAGGAUUAGAUACCCUGGCAGUCCACACUGUAUACGAUGAUAACUAGGUGUCGGCCGAAUCU